RNAcentral lists this ribosomal RNA (533 nucleotides) under Salmonella enterica. RNAcentral's name for it is "partial 23S ribosomal RNA". It matches the Rfam family "Bacterial large subunit ribosomal RNA", at positions 659 to 1190 of the family's 2925-position model. The record is from RNAcentral. RNAcentral also lists the same sequence under 1 other name. Lineage: Bacteria; Pseudomonadati; Pseudomonadota; Gammaproteobacteria; Enterobacterales; Enterobacteriaceae.
AGGGGAGCCGGAGGGAAACCGAGUCUUAACCGGGCGUUAAGUUGCAGGGUAUAGACCCGAAACCCGGUGAUCUAGCCAUGGGCAGGUUGAAGGUUGGGUAACACUAACUGGAGGACCGAACCGACUAAUGUUGAAAAAUUAGCGGAUGACCUGUGGCUGGGGGUGAAAGGCCAAUCAAACCGGGAGAUAGCUGGUUCUCCCCGAAAGCUAUUUAGGUAGCGCCUCGUGAAUUCAUCUCCGGGGGUAGAGCACUGUUUCGGCUAGGGGGCCAUCCCGGCUUACCAACCCGAUGCAAACUGCGAAUACCGGAGAAUGUUAUCACGGGAGACACACGGCGGGUGCUAACGUCCGUCGUGAAGAGGGAAACAACCCAGACCGCCAGCUAAGGUCCCAAAGUCAUGGUUAAGUGGGAAACGAUGUGGGAAGGCCCAGACAGCCAGGAUGUUGGCUUAGAAGCAGCCAUCAUUUAAAGAAAGCGUAAUAGCUCACUGGUCGAGUCGGCCUGCGCGGAAGAUGUAACGGGGCUAAACCAU